UACGGAGGGUGCAAGCGUUAUCCGGAAUUACUGGGUUUAAAGGGUGCGUAGGCGGUUAAUUAAGUCAGAGGUGAAAGGUAAUUGCUUAACGAUUGAAUUGCCUUUGAUACUGGUUAACUUGAAAGGAGAUGAGGUUGGCGGAAUGUGAUAUGUAGCGGUGAAAUGCGUAGAGAUAUCAGAGAACACCGAUUGCGAAGGCAGCUGACUAAUCUUACUUUGACGAUGAGGCACGAAAGCGUGGGGAGCGAACAGG
Molecule: ribosomal RNA, 253 nt
Filed under: uncultured bacterium
Lineage: Bacteria
Description: partial 16S ribosomal RNA
Rfam family: Bacterial small subunit ribosomal RNA
Source: RNAcentral